GGUGAAGCCGGACCGUGAGGACCGGUGGACGAGGCGGAAGUGAGAAUGCAGGCAUGAGUAGCGAAAAGGCGGGUGAGAAUCCCGCCCCCCGUAAGCCUAAGGGUUCUUACGGAAGGUUCGUCCGCGUAAGGUUAGGCGGGAGCUAAGGUGAGGCCGAAAGGCGUAGCCGAUGCACAGCCGGUCGACAUUCCGGCCCCACUCAGGGAUCGCUACGAGCCACGGAGGGACGCAGGAGGGUAGCCCUACCGGCGGCCGGAAGUGCCGGGCCAACCGGGUAGGCUGGGGUCCUAGGCAAAUCCGGGACCCCGUCAAGGCCGAGACGGGAGUGCGAGCGGGAUUGAGACGCCCGCGAAGUGGGUGAGCCCACACUGCCAAGAAAAGCUUCGUGGCCAGAUCCCUGGGUGCCCGUACCGCAAACCGACACAGGUAGGCAGGCACACAACGUGCCCAGGGGCGCGAGGGAACCCUCCUCAAGGAACUCGGCAAAUUGGCCCCGUAACUUCGGGAGAAGGGGUGCCCCGGUAGGGUGAGGUGACUCGCGCACCGAGCCCGAGGGGGUCGCAGGGAAUCGGCCCAGGCGACUGUUUAACAAAAACACAGGUCUCUGCUAAGCCGCAAGGCGAUGUAUAGGGGCCGACGCCUGCCCAGUGCCGGAAGGUAAAGGGGAGGGGUGAGGCCGAAAGGCGUAGCUCCAAACCGAAGCCCCGGUGAACGGCGGCCGUAACUAUAACGGUCCUAAGGUAGCGAAAUUCCUUGUCGGGUAAGUUCCGACCUGCAUGAAAGGCGUAACGACCUGGGCGCUGUCUCGAGGAGGGGCUCGGCGAAGGUGUACCACCCGUGAAGAUACGGGUUACCCGCAGCUGGACGGAAAGACCCCGUGGAGCUUUACUGCAGCCUGAUAUUGGAUGUGGUUUUGCCGUGUAUAGGAUAGGUGGGAGGCUGAGAAGCGGGGGCGCCAGCCUCCGUGGAGCCGCCCUUGGAAUACCACCCUCGGUAAGGCUACGUCCUAACCGGGGCCCUACAUCGGGUUCCGGGACAGUGUCAGGUGGGCAGUUUGACUGGGGCGGUCGCCUCCUAAAGGGUAACGGAGGCGCCCAAAGGUCCCCUCAGCACGGUUGGAAACCGUGCGUUGAGUGCAAGGGCAUAAGGGGGCUUGACUGCGAGACCCACAAGUCGAGCAGGGGCGAAAGCCGGGCCUAGUGAUCCUCUGGCGGCAAGUGGAAGCGCCAGGGCUUAACGGAUAAAAGCUACCCCGGGGAUAACAGGCUGAUCUCCCCCAAGAGUCCACAUCGACGGGGAGGUUUGGCACCUCGAUGUCGGCUCACCCCAUCCUGGGGGGGCAGUACCUCCCAAGGGUUGGGCUGUUCGCCCAUUAAAGGGGUACGUGAGCUGGGUUCAGACCGUCGUGAGACAGGUCGGUCCCUAUCCACUGCGGGCGCAGGUGGCUUGAGGGGGGCUGCUCCUAGUACGAGAGGACCGGAGUGGACGCACCUCUGGUGUACCGGUUGUCGCGCCAGCGGCACGCGCCGGGUAGCCAUGUGCGGUUGUGAUAAGCGCUGAAAGCAUCUAAGCGCGAAGCACGCCCCAAGAUGAGGCCACCCACCGGGUCAACCGGGUAAGGCCCCAGGAAGACCACCUGGUAGAUAGGCCGGAGGUGGAAGCGCGGCAACGCGUGAAGCCGACCGGUACUAAUCGGCCGAGGGCUUGGCGGC
This 1712-nucleotide ribosomal RNA is filed under the name Pseudomonadota bacterium. RNAcentral's name for it is "partial 23S ribosomal RNA". It matches the Rfam family "Bacterial large subunit ribosomal RNA", at positions 1249 to 2925 of the family's 2925-position model. Lineage: Bacteria; Pseudomonadati; Pseudomonadota. The record is from RNAcentral. RNAcentral also lists the same sequence under 1 other name.